RNAcentral lists this ribosomal RNA (449 nucleotides) under uncultured bacterium. Its description in RNAcentral is "partial 16S ribosomal RNA". It matches the Rfam family "Bacterial small subunit ribosomal RNA", at positions 29 to 523 of the family's 1533-position model. The record is from RNAcentral.
AGCGAACGCUGGCGGCAGGCCUAACACAUGCAAGUCGAGCGCCGUAGCAAUACGGAGCGGCAGACGGGAGAGUAACACGUGGGAACGUACCCUUCAGUUCGGAACAACCCAGGGAAACUUGGGCUAAUACCGGGUACGUCCGUAAGGAGAAAGAUUUAUCGCUGAAGGAUCGGCCCGCGUCUGAUUAGCUAGUUGGCGAGGUAACGGCUCACCAAGGCGACGAUCAGUAGCUGGUCUGAGAGGAUGAUCAGCCUCACUGGGACUGAGACACGGCCCAGACUCCUACGGGAGGCAGCAGUGGGGAAUAUUGGACGAUGGGCGCAAGCCUGAUCCAGCCAUGCCGCGUGGAUGAUGAAGGCCCUAGGGUUGUAAAGUCCUUUCGGCGGGGAAGAUAAUGACGGUACCCGCAGAAGAAGCCCCGGCUAACUUCGUGCCAGCCGCCGCCGUAA